GGUGAGACUGUUUAAGGACCACUCCUCAGCAUGCUCACAGACUGGGGCUGAUCAGCUUUCUAAGAAAGGGAAUGUCUCAUACAAGAGCAGCAGCAUUACUUCUGUCCUCCAGAUGAAUGAUUCUACUUCACACAGAGAAGCAAAGUGAUGCACAGGCAGCUCCCUGCCAGCCUCAGUGACCUUCUGCUGAUGAACUCCAGGUGAUGCUCAUAGAUAGAGAUGGGUGCCCAUCUCUUAAGCUGAUGUUAGGUGUAGUUGUUGCAGU
RNAcentral lists this long non-coding RNA (265 nucleotides) under Amazona collaria (yellow-billed parrot). RNAcentral's name for it is "lncRNA (ENSACOG00000007244.1)". The record is from RNAcentral. Lineage: Eukaryota; Metazoa; Chordata; Aves; Psittaciformes; Psittacidae.